UCACUACAAUGGCUCUGGGCUUGUCGUGGUCACCUCGCAGCACCAUCCCUAUUGACUCGCCAUUCAGCCUGUGAACGUUGACAGAAUUUGUGGCCUCACAGGUCCAAUACAAGGUAUGGCUGUAUAUAUCAAUGCUGAGGUCAUGUGGCUGCUUCUCUGGGUUCUGGCUUUGGUUUGGAGAGCUCAUGACAGUAAAAGGCUGAGUGCCAUCAUCUUUGGCUCUUUUUAUAAUAUUCUGACGCCCAUCUACCCAGUAAAUCAAUUUAUCUAAGGGAUCAUAAUCAAUAGCCU
Molecule: long non-coding RNA, 291 nt
Filed under: Gallus gallus (chicken)
Lineage: Eukaryota; Metazoa; Chordata; Aves; Galliformes; Phasianidae
Source: RNAcentral